UACAGAGGGUGCAAGCGUUGCUCGGAAUCACUGGGCGUAAAGGGUGCGUAGGCGGGUCUUUAAGUCAGGGGUGAAAUCCUGGAGCUCAACUCCAGAACUGCCUUUGAUACUGAGGAUCUUGGGUUCGGGAGAGGUGAGUGGAACUGCGAGUGUAGAGGUGAAAUUCGUAGAUAUUCGCAAGAACACCAGUGGCGAAGGCGGCUCACUGGCCCGAUACUGACGCUGAGGCACGAAAGCGUGGGGAGCAAACAGG
RNAcentral lists this ribosomal RNA (253 nucleotides) under uncultured bacterium. Its description in RNAcentral is "partial 16S ribosomal RNA". It matches the Rfam family "Bacterial small subunit ribosomal RNA", at positions 524 to 776 of the family's 1533-position model. The record is from RNAcentral.